This 400-nucleotide ribosomal RNA is filed under the name uncultured bacterium. RNAcentral describes it as "bacterial SSU rRNA". It matches the Rfam family "Bacterial small subunit ribosomal RNA", at positions 356 to 773 of the family's 1533-position model. The record is from RNAcentral.
GGGGAAUCUUAGACAAUGGGGGCAACCCUGAUCUAGCCAUGCCGCGUGAGUGAUGAAGGCCUUAGGGUCGUAAAGCUCUUUCGCCGGGGAAGAUAAUGACGGUACCCGGUAAAGAAACCCCGGCUAACUCCGUGCCAGCAGCCGCGGUAAUACGGAGGGGGUUAGCGUUGUUCGGAAUUACUGGGCGUAAAGCGCGCGUAGGCGGAUCGGAAAGUUGGGGGUGAAAUCCCGGGGCUCAACCCCGGAAUUGCCUUCAAAACUCCCGGUCUUGAGGUCGAGAGAGGUGAGUGGAAUUCCGAGUGUAGAGGUGAAAUUCGUAGAUAUUCGGAGGAACACCAGUGGCGAAGGCGGCUCACUGGCUCGAUACUGACGCUGAGGUGCGAAAGCGUGGGGAGCAAAC